GACGAACGCUGGCGGCGUGCUUAACACAUGCAAGUCGAGCGGUAAGGCCCUUUCGGGGGUACACGAGCGGCGAACGGGUGAGUAACACGUGGGUGACCUGCCCUCAGCUCUGGGAUAAGCCUGGGAAACUGGGUCUAAUACUGGAUAUGACUCCACGGUGCAUGUCGUGGGGUGGAAAGCCUUGUGCGGCUGAGGAUGGGCCCGCGGCCUAUCAGCUUGUUGGUGGGGNGAUGGCCUACCAAGGCGACGCGGGUAGCCGGCCUGAGAGGGCGACCGGCCACACUGGGACUGAGACACGGCCCA
This 303-nucleotide ribosomal RNA is filed under the name uncultured bacterium. Its description in RNAcentral is "bacterial SSU rRNA". It matches the Rfam family "Bacterial small subunit ribosomal RNA", at positions 28 to 333 of the family's 1533-position model. The record is from RNAcentral.